AAAGGUGAGAGAAGGAGAAAUAAGGAGGUAAGCUUAAUAGAAAAAUUAGGGGUAAAUAGGUAACAAUGUCAUGUGCUUUAUUGUUUAUAGUGUUUGAACCAUUCUGAGCUAUAUUUCUUUUGAAUUUAAACCGUCUCUGCCUCAAAACGUUAUAAGUCUAAAAGACCUGCUGACCUAUGCAUUUCUUUUACAUGAUCUUCUUGACUUGCUUAUAAGUAGCUUAUUGAAUUUUUUUUAAUUCAAAUUUUUUUAUCUACUAUGCACUACAGGAAAUUAAGCUUUUAGUAGUGUUUGGACAGAAAACGCCUCAAAAGAUAAAAUAAUAAUAGUAUUUUUCUCAUAAACGCCUGAAAAGAUAAGCUAAAGGUAAAGUAAUAGCGAUAUUUAUGAGAAAAACCCACAAAAUAUCAUUUUAUUUUUAACCAAACUACGCGGUUUUUGCUAGGCUUAGUUUUAUCCUCCAAAUUAGUUUCCUGAAAUUCCUUAUUUUUUUCCCCUAAAAUUUUCCCCAAAUCCCUAAUUUUUUACCUCUAGAAUUCUGGUAAUUUUCUCUUCCCCCUCUUUGAUUGAGCAAUAAAACAAAUAUGAAAUAUCCCCAACUCACAAAUUUCGGUUAAAAGCCAAACACAUUCGCCUAACACACGCACACGUUCAAGCUCCACCUUCAAAUCUACCAGCAAAGAGAGAAAAAAAAGGAAAGAACUUGAUUUGAGUCCAUAAAGAAAAGGCUUUUUUUUUUUAAUCUCUAAUUCGUCCAAAUCAAUUUAUUUGGAGAUGCAAUCCGUUGUUAUUACCCCAACAUAUUGUUGAAGCACCCAUUAUCAAACCCUAGAAUGCUUCUCUUCUCGUCCUAAUCCUUCAAAGCCAUCAUCAAGCUUAUUUGGCGCCCGCGUCUCGGCUGCAAAAGGUGUAAUCCGUCGCGACGUGCUCAUGGCGUUGUCUUCGGGUUCGAUUACCUGGUUUUACGCGCAGGCUGAGUAAGUGCCUUUUUAUUUUUAGAUUUGUUUUGUUACAAUUUUAGGUUAAUUUUGAAGUAGGGUUAAUUGUGUUAAACGCUACCAAACUAUCGUUUAAAUUUUAAAUGAUGGAUAAUUUGCUAUUGAUUAUGAUGGAAAUGACUAUUAAAUGUUUAAAAUUCCUCUUAUUUAAUUGAUGGUUGCUGCUGUUUAAAUAUAA
Gossypium arboreum is the source of this 1176-nucleotide long non-coding RNA. RefSeq lists it as uncharacterized. NCBI's taxonomy places the organism in Eukaryota, Viridiplantae, Streptophyta, Magnoliopsida, Malvales, Malvaceae. The transcript has 2 exons. The record is from RefSeq and is a predicted model, not a curated record.